Molecule: ribosomal RNA, 693 nt
Filed under: uncultured bacterium
Lineage: Bacteria
Description: bacterial SSU rRNA
Rfam family: Bacterial small subunit ribosomal RNA
Source: RNAcentral
AACGCUAGCUACAGGCUUAACACAUGCCAGUCGAGGGGCAGCGGGAUUGAAGCUUGCUUCAAUUGCCGGCGACCGGCGCACGGUGAGUAACGCGUAUCCACCUUUCCGUACACUCAGGGAUAGCCUUUCGAAAGAAAGAUUAAUACCUGAUGGUAUGAUGAGAUUGCAUGGUAUCAUCAUUAAAGAUUCAUCGGUGUACGAUGGGGAUGCGUUCCAUUAGGUAGUAGGCGGGGUAACGGCCCACCUAGCCUACGAUGGAUAGGGGUUCUGAGAGGAAGGUCCCCCACAUUGGAACUGAGACACGGUCCAAACUCCUACGGGAGGCAGCAGUGAGGAAUAUUGGUCAAUGGACGAGAGUCUGAACCAGCCAAGUAGCGUGAAGGAUGAAGGUCCUACGGAUUGUAAACUUCUUUUAUAAGGGAAUAAACCCUCCCACGUGUGGGAGCUUGUAUGUACCUUAUGAAUAAGCAUCGGCUAACUCCGUGCCAGCAGCCGCGGUAAUACGGAGGAUGCGAGCGUUAUCCGGAUUUAUUGGGUUUAAAGGGAGCGCAGACGGGUCGUUAAGUCAGCUGUGAAAGUUUGGGGCUCAACCUUAAAAUUGCAGUUGAUACUGGCGUCCUUGAGUGCGGUUGAGGUGUGCGGAAUUCGUGGUGUAGCGGUGAAAUGCUUAGAUAUCACGAAGAACUCCGAUUG